GCAUAUAGCAUUACUUUUGUCAUAUUAUCCAGUCACCUCUUGAUUUUGAGAAAGUCAGACUUCACUGACAUCUGAUUAACUGCCACAUCCACCCUCAAGAAGCCCAUCCUGUGUGGGAGGCAAGACAAGUCCAGAUGACACCAACCAAGACAAUAUCAAAAGACAUAAUUACCAUAGGAGAGAUGGUGGACUUUCCUUCUCGGCAAUGGCAAGACCUAACCCUGCUCCACCUCCUGAGUGUGGCAUUACAGGUGUUUACAUCAAUCUCCAACUUGGACUAGUAUCAGUUCUUGCAAGGGAAAAAGGUGAAACUGCAGAAACACCUAAUUCAUGGACCAGUUUAAUUCGAUUCUACUGGAAUACGAGGCCAAAUGUUUGACUUCCCUCAGGAAGGCAACAUGAGUUAAGAAAACAGCACUUUAUGGAAUAUUCCCAAAGAGCCCAAUUUGAUAAUUGAAAAAGAAAAUGAAAAUUUUCCAGACACCAAAGUGUAUGCUUCUGCAUGGAGAAGACAACUUUGCUAAACUUUGGGGAAAGAGAAAAGAUAAAGCUGGGUUCUGCAUCAUGAAAAAGACUCCAAUAGUACUAAUACCUGCUAAGUCUUGCCUCUAAGUCUACUCAGAAGAGAUGCUCAAAGAAGAACAAGCAAGGACCAAGGCUGUUUGCACCAUGAAGACCUAUCUUCAUCUUUCUAAAGCUGCACUAUCCACUACAGUGGCUACUAGCCUCAUGUGGCUAUUUAAAUUUAUUAAAAUUAAAUAAAAUUUAAAACUCAGUUCCUCAGUCAUAACAGCCACAUGCAGUUAGUGGCUACCAUACAGAACAGCACAGAUAUAGAACAUUUCCGUCAUCAAAGAAACUACUAUUGGAUACUGCUGUAAAGGUUAAACAUAAGUGUGCCCUCUGUUCUGAAAGCCACAGAAACUGGGCUGGAGAGACACUAAUUGGCUGUAUUAUCUGGGUCAAUUCCUUUCCUAUUUCUAGGUGUCCUUUCCUAUUUCUACACCAUCU
Molecule: long non-coding RNA, 1011 nt
Organism: Eubalaena glacialis (North Atlantic right whale)
Lineage: Eukaryota; Metazoa; Chordata; Mammalia; Artiodactyla; Balaenidae
Exons: 3
Source: RefSeq, a predicted model, not a curated record